AACGCUGGCGGCGUGCCUAACACAUGCAAGUCGCACGAGAAAGGGGAGCAAUCCAUGAGUACAGUGGCGCACGGGUGAGUAACACGUGAAUUAUCUACCUUCGAGUGGGGAAUAACUGGGAGAAAUCUCAGCUAAUACCGCAUAAUACUUACGGGUCAAAGCAGCAAUGCGCUUGAAGAGGAGUUCGCGGCAGAUUAGUUAGUUGGCGGGGUAAUGGCCCACCAAGACGAUGAUCUGUAUCCGGCCUGAGAGGGCGCACGGACACACUGGAACUGAAACACGGUCCAGACUCCUACGGGAGGCAGCAGUGGGGAAUUUUGCGCAAUGGGGGAAACCCUGACGCAGCAACGCCGCGUGGAGGAUGAAAUCCCUUGGGAUGUAAACUCCUUUCGAUUGGGAAGAUUAUGACGGUACCAAUAGAAGAAGCCCG
This 430-nucleotide ribosomal RNA is filed under the name Acidobacteria bacterium UCL-007. RNAcentral describes it as "bacterial SSU rRNA". It matches the Rfam family "Bacterial small subunit ribosomal RNA", at positions 32 to 494 of the family's 1533-position model. The record is from RNAcentral. Lineage: Bacteria; Pseudomonadati; Acidobacteriota.